RNAcentral lists this unclassified non-coding RNA (236 nucleotides) under Glomeraceae sp. RNAcentral describes it as "partial contains 5.8S ribosomal RNA and internal transcribed spacer 2". The stretch from base 1 to 72 matches the Rfam family "5.8S ribosomal RNA", at positions 84 to 154 of the family's 154-position model. Lineage: Eukaryota; Fungi; Glomeromycota; Glomeromycetes; Glomerales; Glomeraceae. The record is from RNAcentral.
GUGAAUCAUCGAAUUUUUGAACGCAAAUUGCACUCUUCGGUUUUCCGGGAGAGUAUGCCUGUUUGUGGGUCUGUUUAAAAACUAAUUGAGGCUGCUGCUGUGGCGGCGCUUCGGAAUUGGGUCAUGUUUCACCUUUCGGCGUUGUAAGCGACCUAAAAUUUUUCUUACGAUUUCUACGAACGUGUCUAAGAAUUUUUCUUGUACGUUCGCGACAUCGAAAUCAUACUAUGGGCGAC